GAUGAACGCUGGCGGCGUGCCUAAUACAUGCAAGUCGAGCGAACGGACGAGAAGCUUGCUUCUCUGAUGUUAGUGGCGGACGGGUGAGUAACACGUGGAUAACCUACCUAUAAGACUGGGAUAACUUCGGGAAACCGGAGCUAAUACCGGCUGAUAUUUUGAACCGCAUGGUUCAAAAGUGAAAGACGGUCUUGCUGUCACUUAUAGAUGGAUCCGCGCUGCAUUAGCUAGUUGGUAAGGUAACGGCUUACCAAGGCAACGAUGCAUAGCCGACCUGAGAGGGUGAUCGGCCACACUGGAACUGAGACACGGUCCAGACUCCUACGGGAGGCAGCAGUAGGGAAUCUUCCGCAAUGGGCGAAAGCCUGACGGAGCAACGCCGCGUGAGUGAUGAAGGUCUUCGGAUCGUAAAACUCUGUUAUUAGGGAAGAACAUAUGUGUAAGUAACUGUGCACAUCUUGACGGUACCUAAUCAGAAAGCCACGGCUAACUACGUG
This 497-nucleotide ribosomal RNA is filed under the name uncultured bacterium. RNAcentral's name for it is "partial 16S ribosomal RNA". It matches the Rfam family "Bacterial small subunit ribosomal RNA", at positions 28 to 507 of the family's 1533-position model. The record is from RNAcentral.